This 253-nucleotide ribosomal RNA is filed under the name uncultured bacterium. Its description in RNAcentral is "partial 16S ribosomal RNA". It matches the Rfam family "Bacterial small subunit ribosomal RNA", at positions 524 to 776 of the family's 1533-position model. The record is from RNAcentral.
UACGUAGGGUGCGAGCGUUGUCCGGAAUUAUUGGGCGUAAAGAGCUUGUAGGCGGUUUGUCGCGUCUGCCGUGAAAAUCCGGGGCUCAACCCCGGACUUGCGGUGGGUACGGGCAGACUAGAGUGUGGUAGGGGAGACUGGAAUUCCUGGUGUAGCGGUGAAAUGCGCAGAUAUCAGGAGGAACACCGGUGGCGAAGGCGGGACUCUGGGCCGAUACUAACGCUGAGGAGCGAAAGCGUGGGGAGCAAACAGG